GGCGUCGAUCCCUGACCCGAUAUGUGUCGCGAUGGUGGUACAGAGGCGGCAUCAUGUGACUGUAGAGGUGCUAACUCAGAAGCAUCAAUACCGAGCCAUCCCGCCAUCGCAGCUACUAUCCUCUCGAGCGUCUGACUACGAUUCAUCCAGUAACUAAUCUGAUCUUGUAUCAUGCUCAUGGAUAUCCUAACUACCUCUGGCACCGAUGCAUCA
Molecule: long non-coding RNA, 213 nt
Filed under: Elaeis guineensis (African oil palm)
Lineage: Eukaryota; Viridiplantae; Streptophyta; Magnoliopsida; Arecales; Arecaceae
Description: long non-coding RNA (EGUI_LNC005808)
Source: RNAcentral